GACGAACGCUGGCGGCGUGCUUAACACAUGCAAGUCGAACGGAAAGGCCCUGCUUGCAGGGUACUCGAGUGGCGAACGGGUGAGUAACACGUGGGUGAUCUGCCCUGCACUUCGGGAUAAGCCUGGGAAACUGGGUCUAAUACCGGAUAGGAGCCAUUUUUAGUGUGAUGGUUGGAAAGUUUUUUCUGUGUAGGAUGAGCUCGCGGCCUAUCAGCUUGUUGGUGGGGUAAUGGCCUACCAAGGCGGCGACGGGUAGCCGGCCUGAGAGGGUGGACGGCCACAUUGGGACUGAGAUACGGCCCAGACUCCUACGGGAGGCAGCAGUGGGGAAUAUUGCACAAUGGGCGCAAGCCUGAUGCAGCGACGCCGCGUGGGGGAUGACGGCCUUCGGGUUGUAGACUCCUUUCGCUAGGGACGAAGCUUUUUGUGACGGUACCUAGAUAAGAAGCACCGGCUAACUACGUG
RNAcentral lists this ribosomal RNA (465 nucleotides) under uncultured bacterium. Its description in RNAcentral is "partial 16S ribosomal RNA". It matches the Rfam family "Bacterial small subunit ribosomal RNA", at positions 28 to 507 of the family's 1533-position model. The record is from RNAcentral.